RNAcentral lists this long non-coding RNA (1392 nucleotides) under Chrysolophus pictus (golden pheasant). RNAcentral's name for it is "lncRNA (ENSCPIG00010007424.1)". The record is from RNAcentral. Lineage: Eukaryota; Metazoa; Chordata; Aves; Galliformes; Phasianidae.
CUUUAAUUGUUUUUCAACUCAGGUCAGAUUUCCUAACACGGCCUCAUUGCCAUUGGGUUCUAUCCAGUUGAUCCAAAUCCCUUUUGAAGUCAGUGCCCAGCCUGGCUGGUGGGCACCCUUGCAGCUGCAUGGACACAGUAGAGCCACAUGCUGCCGUCCAGCUGCACCUCCCAGAGAUGGCUCAUCAGAGACCCACCAUCUAUUAAUCUGUAGGUAACAACGUGGAGUGAUGUUAUAUGGGAUAAUAUUUCAAAGAAUCAUGGAAUUAUGAAGGUUGGAAAAGAUCUCUCAGAUCCCCAAGCUCAACCCACCCCUACCAUGCCCACUGACCAUGACCCUCAGUGCCACAUCUCCAUGGUUCUUGCCUGAACACCACCAGGGAUGGCUAUUCUAUCACCAUUCUGGGCAGCCCGUGCCAACACAAAUUGUAGUAGUUAUUUUGUUUAUCUUAUCACAAUCUGAAUGUCACAAUAUCCAGAUGUUAUUGUAGGGAAAUCUUUAACUAUCAUAUAACCAUCAAAAGAGUAUAAAAGGUGGUAUGAAACACUUGGCUAAUUGUAAAUUCCCUUUUUUAAGAGUCCAGCAUGAAUGAUAAUGCUCAAAUAUUUUAGUUGGCUGUGGAAACCCCUUUGAUCAAGGUUACAACAGUGUGUUAUAUUAUGCUAAUUAUGCUGCUGUUACUACUACAACUUGAAACUUGCUCUCAUUAAAGAUGAACAAUUCCAGCAAUCUACCAAACAUUCCUACUUAACAAAAUGAGGAAAUUCUUUUGAUCAAGAAUAGCAUCUUUGUGAAGAGGUGCGGAUGUCAGGGUGCCUGCAUUAUAAUCUGGUUUGUGGCAAUUCAUUGUCUUUAGUUUUCUCAGCAGGAGGAGAUGAUGUGGAUGGAAGAUGUUGGGCUGAGAUAUCAGGAGAUCUGCCUCUGCCAGCCCAUCAGGAGGAGGCUUCUAAAAAGGGUCAAAGGAAAGCAGGCUAAGAACAAAAACCUGAGGAAUACUGAAUUUAACUGCAUAAAAAAUACAACAUUUUGUCUUUAAUCCAAGUGUAAGUACUCUAAAGCAAGAGGACGCUUGCUUUAGCAAACAGCUGAACUCCAAUAUAAGAUGUCCUGAGUCAUCAGGUUGGUUUUCUCAGGCAAACUCCUUUAGGUUUUGCACACCUGGCAUUUUUGUUUUGUGGUAGCACACACUCAGUCUCACGUAUUCUGUCUCAGUGUUGCAUGGCCAAAAGCUGAGCUCUGCUGUCAGAACAGCAGCUAAUUGCUGAUAUGUUAUCAAGACUGCAGUGCAAUACCUUGGGUGUUUUAUAGUCUUUAUGGUACUUUAUUUUACAUCAAACUUCCUCCUGCUGUGAUUUCGAUAUGUACAGUAGAAAGGAGGAAUAAACUCCAGGU